ACUGACUCAUACAAGAUUUUGGGUGUUUAUUCAAAAGCAUCAGCACGUAGUGCGAGCAUAGUGAAAGACUCAACUGAAUAGCAGGGGAUUGAUUGCAAAUCCCUUUUAUCUGCCAAUCGCCUCUUCACUUAGGAGGUCUUUACAUGUAACCAUGCCUCAUUGAGGUCUUUAGCACAAAAUUAAACAAUCAAGAACAUGGCCUCUUAAGGAGGGCUUCAGACAGGUGUCUGCCAAAAGAGGGCAGGUCUUCC
RNAcentral lists this long non-coding RNA (251 nucleotides) under Lathyrus oleraceus (garden pea). Its description in RNAcentral is "Pisum sativum (pea) long non-coding RNA (PSAT_LNC018984)". Lineage: Eukaryota; Viridiplantae; Streptophyta; Magnoliopsida; Fabales; Fabaceae. The record is from RNAcentral.